GUUGCUGCGAACGUCCCUUCCCGCAGCUGGGGCAGGCUCGCCUGUGCUGCUCCUUUGGACAGGGAAGUUCGUCUUGGCAUUGCGGCCACUCAUCAGCACAGCGGCCUCAUCAUAUGCCCUCGCUGCCUCCUCUGCUGUCUCGAAGAGCUACUGGUGCCAAUCAUAUAGUUGAGUGCCAUUGGACGCAUGGACACAACUGCACAACAUAUAUGGCAUACUUUUUUCUGAAAAUGAAAAGGAACUUGCAUUUGGCGCGCUCGUAGUAUUUACAUAGUCAUCUGUGUGACUGGGGUACUAGGCCUUCCUAUGAUGCCAAAACUGAAGCGUCGGUCUGCAAUAAAUCGGUACCUGCUGUACAUCUACUCGUACGGUUUUGGCUCCACAGGCAUGUGUCAGCCGGUCACUUCUUGCUGGAUCAUAAGAAGCUUCGGUGAGAUCUUGUCUUCUGACACAGUCUCAGCGCAGUGGGUUUCCUGUUAUCUUCCCCCUGGAAAGGCGAAGCCGCAAGGACAAAUCUGGGGACAGCGCAAUAAAGAUGGCUUUAAUCGCUCCGAUCAACUCCAACCGUAAGCUUUCUCGUGCGUGUGGAUCAGGCGAGAGCUCCACAGUCCAGACUGAGACCACUCCACACUGGAGACAAGAGUACAAUACAGGACCUUCCCUCGGCUCCUCGGCGGUCGGAACUGCCCUCGGUCACUCUUGAGCCCGGAAAAGUCAGCCCGGGGCCGGGUCAGGUGGUGUGCGAGCGCCUUCUUCAUGUGCAGGUUUUGCUGCACUGGAGUCCACAUGCAUGCGCGCGGUAACUAUCGUGCCAGAGAUCCCAUGGGAGCUAAAAAGUUUUUAUAUCACCUUGGCAACUGUAGCACGUGCAGUAUAGUCCGGAGAUUUGGUACAUAGGGACGCAUGGUUGCAAGGGGGAGCUUCUGGCUUGUAUCACAAAUAAGCGCAUCGGAACAUCACAAGUCCCAACCAAGUCUAUAUACCGUGUAGCUAACUCGAUGGGGUACGAUGUGUAAGCGACUUCAGUUUAUCUAUCGAGAAAACCACUCGAACCAUAGCUUUUUGGCUAACGAGGGGGAUUUUUUUUAAACCUCAGCUUGAAAUU
Molecule: long non-coding RNA, 1105 nt
Organism: Panicum virgatum (switchgrass)
Lineage: Eukaryota; Viridiplantae; Streptophyta; Magnoliopsida; Poales; Poaceae
Exons: 5
Source: RefSeq, a predicted model, not a curated record